UGGGGAAUUUUGGACAAUGGGCGAAAGCCUGAUCCAGCAAUGCCGCGUGUGUGAAGAAGGCCUUCGGGUUGUAAAGCACUUUUGUCCGGAAAGAAAUCCUUGGCUCUAAUACAGUCGGGGGAUGACGGUACCGGAAGAAUAAGCACCGGCUAACUACGUGCCAGCAGCCGCGGUAAUACGUAGGGUGCAAGCGUUAAUCGGAAUUACUGGGCGUAAAGCGUGCGCAGGCGGUUUGCUAAGACCGAUGUGAAAUCCCCGGGCUCAACCUGGGAACUGCAUUGGUGACUGGCAGGCUAGAGUAUGGCAGAGGGGGGUAGAAUUCCACGUGUAGCAGUGAAAUGCGUAGAGAUGUGGAGGAAUACAGAUGGCGAAGGCAGCCCCCUGGGCCAAUACUGACGCUCAUGCACGAAAGCGUGGGGAGCAAACAGGAUUAGAUACCCUGGUAGUCCACGCCCUAAACGAUGUCAACUAGUUGUUGGGGAUUCAUUUCCUUAGUAACGUAGCUAACGCGUGAAGUUGACCGCCUGGGGAGUACGGUCGCAAGAUUAAAACUCAAAUGAAUUGACGGGGUCAUA
Molecule: ribosomal RNA, 575 nt
Filed under: uncultured bacterium
Lineage: Bacteria
Description: partial 16S ribosomal RNA
Rfam family: Bacterial small subunit ribosomal RNA
Source: RNAcentral